AAGACCUUGCGCUUUUGGAGCGGCCGAUGUCUGAUUAGCUUGUUGGUAAGGUAAAAGCUUACCAAGGCUUCGAUCAGUAGCUGGUCUGAGAGGACGYCCAGCCACACUGGGACUGAGACACGGCCCAGACUCCUACGGGAGGCAGCAGUGGGGAAUUUUGGACAAUGGGGGCAACCCUGAUCCAGCCAUGCCGCGUGAGUGAAGAAGGCCUUCGGGUUGUAAAGCUCUUUCAGCCGGAACGAAACGGUUACGGUUAAUACCCGUGACUACUGACGGUACCGGAAGAAGAAGCACCGGCUAACUACGUGCCAGCAGCCGCGGUAAUACGUAGGGUGCYAGCGUUAAUCGGAAUUACUGGGCGUAAAGCGUGCGCAGGUGGUUUUGUAAGUCAGAUGUGAAAUCCCCGGGCUUAACCUGGGAACU
RNAcentral lists this ribosomal RNA (423 nucleotides) under uncultured bacterium. Its description in RNAcentral is "bacterial SSU rRNA". It matches the Rfam family "Bacterial small subunit ribosomal RNA", at positions 207 to 622 of the family's 1533-position model. The record is from RNAcentral.